GAUGAAGAACGUAGCGAAAUGCGAUACGUAGUGUGAAUUGCAGAAUUCAGUGAAUCAUCGAAUCUUUGAACGCACAUUGCACCUCUCGGUAUUCCGGGAGGUAUGCCUGUUCGAGCGUCAUUUGUACCCUCAAGCUCUGCUUGGUGUUGGGUGUUUGUUCCGCCUCUGUGUGUGAACUCGCCUCAAAACAAUUGGCAGCCGGCGUACUUGUUUCGGAGCGCAGCACAUUUUGCGAUCCAGAUGAACGUACAGCGGCAUCCAAGAAGCCUUAUUUAACGCUCUUGACCUCGGAUCAGGUAGGGAUACCCGCUGAACUUAAGCAUAUCAAUAAGCGGAGGA
This 339-nucleotide unclassified non-coding RNA is filed under the name soil metagenome. Its description in RNAcentral is "partial contains 5.8S ribosomal RNA, internal transcribed spacer 2, and large subunit ribosomal RNA". The stretch from base 1 to 120 matches the Rfam family "5.8S ribosomal RNA", at positions 35 to 154 of the family's 154-position model. The record is from RNAcentral.